AAAUUGAAGAGUUUGAUCAUGGCUCAGAUUGAACGCUGGCGGCAGGCCUAACACAUGCAAGUCGAGCGGUAGCACAGAGAGCUUGCUCUCGGGUGACGAGCGGCGGACGGGUGAGUAAUGUCUGGGAAACUGCCUGAUGGAGGGGGAUAACUACUGGAAACGGUAGCUAAUACCGCAUAACGUCGCAAGACCAAAGUGGGGGACCUUCGGGCCUCAUGCCAUCAGAUGUGCCCAGAUGGGAUUAGCUAGUAGGUGGGGUAACGGCUCACCUAGGCGACGAUCCCUAGCUGGUCUGAGAGGAUGACCAGCCACACUGGAACUGAGACACGGUCCAGACUCCUACGGGAGGCAGCAGUGGGGAAUAUUGCACAAUGGGCGCAAGCCUGAUGCAGCCAUGCCGCGUGUGUGAAGAAGGCCUUCGGGUUGUAAAGCACUUUCAGCGGGGAGGAAGGCGUUAAGGUUAAUAACCUUGGCGAUUGACGUUACCCGCAGAAGAAGCACCGGCUAACUCCGUGCCAGCAGCCGCGGUAAUACGGAGGGUGCAAGCGUUAAUCGGAAUUACUGGGCGUAAAGCGCACGCAGGCGGUCUGUCAAGUCGGAUGUGAAAUCCCCGGGCUCAACCUGGGAACUGCAUUCGAAACUGGCAGGCUAGAGUCUUGUAGAGGGGGGUAGAAUUCCAGGUGUAGCGGUGAAAUGCGUAGAGAUCUGGAGGAAUACCGGUGGCGAAGGCGGCACCCUGGACAAAGACUGACGCUCAGGUGCGAAAGCGUGGGGAGCAAACAGGAUUAGAUACCCUGGUAGUCCACGCCGUAAACGAUGUCGAUUUGGAGGUUGUGCCCUUGAGGCGUGGCUUCCGGAGCUAACGCGUUAAAUCGACCGCCUGGGGAGUACGGCCGCAAGGUUAAAACUCAAAUGAAUUGACGGGGGCCCGCACAAGCGGUGGAGCAUGUGGUUUAAUUCGAUGCAACGCGAAGAACCUUACCUGGUCUUGACAUCCACAGAACUUUCCAGAGAUGGAUUGGUGCCUUCGGGAACUGUGAGACAGGUGCUGCAUGGCUGUCGUCAGCUCGUGUUGUGAAAUGUUGGGUUAAGUCCCGCAACGAGCGCAACCCUUAUCCUUUGUUGCCAGCGGUUCGGCCGGGAACUCAAAGGAGACUGCCAGUGAUAAACUGGAGGAAGGUGGGGAUGACGUCAAGUCAUCAUGGCCCUUACGACCAGGGCUACACACGUGCUACAAUGGCAUAUACAAAGAGAAGCGACCUCGCGAGAGCAAGCGGACCUCAUAAAGUAUGUCGUAGUCCGGAUUGGAGUCUGCAACUCGACUCCAUGAAGUCGGAAUCGCUAGUAAUCGUAGAUCAGAAUGCUACGGUGAAUACGUUCCCGGGCCUUGUACACACCGCCCGUCACACCAUGGGAGUGGGUUGCAAAAGAAGUAGGUAGCUUAACCUUCGGGAGGGCGCUUACCACUUUGUGAUUCAUGACUGGGGUGAAGUCGUAACAAGGUAACCGUAGGGGAACCUGCGGUUGGAUCACCUCCUUACCUUAAAGAA
RNAcentral lists this ribosomal RNA (1550 nucleotides) under Klebsiella pneumoniae. Its description in RNAcentral is "bacterial SSU rRNA". It matches the Rfam family "Bacterial small subunit ribosomal RNA". Lineage: Bacteria; Pseudomonadati; Pseudomonadota; Gammaproteobacteria; Enterobacterales; Enterobacteriaceae. The record is from RNAcentral.